This 778-nucleotide ribosomal RNA is filed under the name Kosmotoga sp. enrichment culture. Its description in RNAcentral is "bacterial SSU rRNA". It matches the Rfam family "Bacterial small subunit ribosomal RNA", at positions 8 to 795 of the family's 1533-position model. The record is from RNAcentral. Lineage: Bacteria; Thermotogati; Thermotogota; Thermotogae; Kosmotogales; Kosmotogaceae.
AGAGUUUGAUUAUGGCUCAGGGUGAACGCUGGCGGCGUGCUUGACACAUGCAAGUCGAACGGUAUGUGGCAACACAUAGAGUGGCGAACGGGUGAGUAACACGUGGGAACGUACCCUACGCAGGGGGAUAACUGACCGAAAGGACAGCUAAUACCGCAUAAGACCGAAAGGUGAAAGGUGCAACUGCACCGGCGAAGGAGCGGCCCGCGGACCAUCAGCUAGUUGGUGGGGUAAGAGCCUACCAAGGCAACGACGGAUAGCCGGCGUGAGAGCGUGGCCGGCCACAAGGACACUGAGAUACGGGUCCUACUCCUACGGGAGGCAGCAGCGCGGAAUUUUAGAUAAUGGAGGCAACUCUGAUCUAGCGACGCCGCGUGCAGGAAGAAGGUCUUCGGAUUGUAAACUGCUGUGGUAAGGGAAAAAUGCCAUGUAGAGUGGAAAGCUACAUGGAGGGAUGGUACUUUACUAGAAAGCCCCGGCUAACUACGUGCCAGCAGCCGCGGUAAUACGUAGGGGGCGAGCGUUACCCGGAAUCACUGGGCGUAAAGGGAGCGUAGGUGGCCUGACAUGUCAACUGUGAAAACCCGGAGCUCAACUCCGGACUUGCAGUUGAAACUGCCAGGCUUGAGGACGGUAGAGGAAGACGGAACUGCCAGUGUAGGGGUAAAAUCCUUAGAUAUUGGCAGGAACGCCGGUGACGAAAGUGGUUUUCUGGGCCGGUUCUGACACUGAUGCUCGAAAGCCAGGGGAGCGAACGGGAUUAGAUACCCUGGUAGUC